UUGGAGGAUGUAAUAGCGAAAGCUGGUUGCAUUUAACUUAGCUUAAUUUAUUAAGCUAAGUUGGUGCAGGAUUGACUAUGUCGAAUAAAGUUCUAGGUGGGUUAUGAUGAUGACAUUUCCUAUCUAUGUGUCUUGACCAAAUUACGUGCCAGCAGUCGCGGUAACACGUUAUAGACUAGUGUUAUUCAUCUUUAAUAGGUUUAAAGCGUACCUAGACGGUAAAUCAAGUCCAACAAGGAUACUAAUUUUCUAGAGUUUAAUAUGAGGGGGCAUUAAAGUACUGAUAAGUGUAGAGAUGAAAUUCUGUGAUACAAUAUACGGCACUGGUAAAGGCGAAGGCAUCUCAUUAUGUAAUAACUGACGUUGAGGGACGAAGGCUAUGUGUAGCAAAAAGGAUUAGAUACCCAAGUAGUCUUAGCAGAAAAUUAUGAAUGUCAUAGGAUGGAAUAGAAAGUUGAAUGGAUAAACAACAGAUCCGUUCAACAGAUUUUUUUCUAUAAAUGAAAGUGUAAGCAUUCCACCUCAAGAGUAAUUUGGCAACAUUGGAACUGAAAUCAUUAGACCGUUUCUGAAACAAGUAGUGAAGUAUGUUGUUUAAUUAGAUGGUCCGCAAAAAACCUUACCACAAUUUGAAUAGAAUUAUUUUUUCAUACAAGCGCUGCACGGUUGUCUUCAGUUAAUGUCGUGAGAUCUUGGUUAGUUCCAUUAAAUUAACGUAGACCCUUACUUUAUUUUUUCAUAGAGUAGUUCACCGCUCGAUUGGAUAUGAUAACAGGGACUAAAACAAGUCAUCAUGGCCUUAA
RNAcentral lists this ribosomal RNA (803 nucleotides) under Rinodina poeltiana. RNAcentral's name for it is "SSU rRNA". It matches the Rfam family "Bacterial small subunit ribosomal RNA", at positions 342 to 1204 of the family's 1533-position model. The record is from RNAcentral. Lineage: Eukaryota; Fungi; Ascomycota; Lecanoromycetes; Caliciales; Physciaceae.